This 2467-nucleotide long non-coding RNA is filed under the name Triticum aestivum (bread wheat). Its description in RNAcentral is "long non-coding RNA (TAES_LNC003987)". Lineage: Eukaryota; Viridiplantae; Streptophyta; Magnoliopsida; Poales; Poaceae. The record is from RNAcentral.
GAGCCGUAAGUAGGGCGGCAUAAUAGGCACUAGCUUGACGGAGGCGCGCUUUGCCGCGCCCGUCAGCAAAUUUGAGAUGUACUACUUCGUUUCUUUCUCUCCGAUGGACAUCCAAAAGCUUCGUGUAUGCAUCAAUUACAAGUGAAACACAGGAAAACGUCUUCAUCUGUGAGCAACUUUUUUUUUCUUGCGAAUAAGCAAUGUCAUUGAUAGACAGAAGAGGACAAACAUAAAGAGAAGAAGCACCACACUAAGUGUGGGUUGGAGCAGAAGAAAGGGUGCUUAUCCCUCCAACACACGGCAAACUAAACAAACAUAAAGAGAAGGAGGCACCCCACUAAGUGUGGGUUGGAGUAGAAGAAAGGGUGCUUAUCCCUCCAACACAUGGCAAACUAAACACGCCUAGCCCAAUCUCAUAGAACGCAAAGCACAAAAUGUCGUGUCACAUCCAAAGUAGGAUACUCCGAAAGCACGACCAAAACAUGGGGCCAAAUUAGAUCAACGUCAAGGAACGGCUAGUGGACAGCAGGAACCGAAGGAGAGGAGAAACCGAGCAAUGAAGGUGACGCCACAAAGACCAACCCGAGUGGAUUGCACAAAGACCGAAGCGCUGAAAUCACCAAUGCCGACCGCGAAAGGGGAUUGGGGUUCCACCGAGACGCUUCCAAGGAAGUGUGUGACACUCAUUGAUAGAGUCAAAGCCGGCAGAUCCGAGUCAAAGCCGGCAAAUCUCGGGUAGGGGGUCCCGGGCUAAUAGUCUUGAAACAAUGGUAGCAAAGGAUUCAAUUGUAUCCAAGGAGUUUUUCUACGCUUGCCUCGCCACUAUAAGUACAUCGUCAUUUUGCUGAUCCGUAAAAAAAUUCCCGCACGAUUAUCCUUAGCCACAAAGUGGUUAUCAAACACAAAGUAUUUCUGUGCUCGGUAUGAGAUAGCAUGACCUAGCUUUGACAACACAUCAAUUCUCAAAAAUGUCUAGAAGCAUACGCGCGCCUUGCUGCGCUGCUUAAACUGCUACGGUGUAGAUUAUCACAAAGUUACCCAGUUAACAUUUAAUUAACAUUUUUGAAUAAUCUCAAUGCAGUUUAGUGUAGUUUCGGAGAAAAUUCAAUUCUGGAUAAAAAUUCACUUAUAUAUGAAGUUUAGCCGUAUUCUUUCAUCUCCUGACCAACUUAUGACCAAGAGCCUUGAACAAACUGAGUGCACAUACUUGCAUAUUUUAACUGAUUCCUGAAAAAGCAAGAGGACAUUACUCAAUCUAGGUGUAUUAUUACUGCAACAUCAUGCUUGGGCACAUGAAUGCAUGCUUUGCUAAGUAUUCUGAUUUGUGUGGUAUGGUGUUCAGGUUUUUGGGGCCAAAUUGCUACAUAUAGCAUGCAUCGCUAAAUCUUGUAGGUUAAUAGUUGGGACAAAUUUUUCCUGCUGCUAGCUUGUAUGAUUGACUAUUUUGAACCCUGAUAAAUCCAUAGGAACUCAAAAAGGGUUGUCUAUAGGAAAUAAUAGACACGACCAUCUAACAAUUACAGUUUGGCUUGAAAUAAAAUGAUUAUCAGUACAUAAUCUGAUUCCUAACCUUGUAAUAACUUAAAACAAUGCUGAUUUGGAAUGAAGAAGCUUGUGCAUUUCCCAUUGCAGAUCAAUGUACGAAAUUUGCAUGUGAUUCUACAAAGGACAAACUUGAUCUACAUGACAUUAACUUUAGAAGCACAUAAUCUAAUUCCAUUCCCACACACAUUUUCCUGGAGUACUCAUAUUGGUGAUACGGCAGGUAUGAAUUUUGUACUAUUGCAAAAUCAAAUCUGAAUGAGGUGGGCGCAAUGUUACCUGCUCGAGCUUCCUUGUCGCCGGAGCAACUAACGGCAGGAACUUCUGUUGGGGGAGGAGAAAGGAGAUAGGGGAGGAAUGAGGUGAGGGCGUACCUUGCUGCCAGGAGGUGAGCUGUUUGGGAGCUUCAGCGACGAACGCGACGUCGAGUACAUGCGGUGGCGGUGGUUGUGUCGUAGGAGCCUGACUGCAGAGCGUGUUCCCAUCUAGCGGCCAGUAAAUACAAGGGCCCAGCGGAACCGAAGGAAAUCGCCACCGCCAACGCCGCCGAGCAAAACCGAACGAAGUCCUGACCCCAAUGGCAGGUUGGCUGGCAACACAAGUGCUCCAGGCAACCGAGCCAAGAGCAGCAAAAGGCAAACAAAAAAUUAAAGGAGAAACGAAGAAGACCGAACCCGGUGAGAUGGAUAGGAAGAAGACGACACCGGAUUCGCUGCCUGUCCUGCCUCUAUUCCAGUCGUCAGAAUUGAGGUACCCAUGGGGAGGAGGGGCCGAAAAGAGCCGGAGCAGCCAGUUGAUGACCUAUGGUGGUGAGGAGGAGGCAGCGACCAACAUCCACGGCGGGUCACGGAUCUAGACGCUGGACGCCAUGUCGAGCCCGCCUCUCCUGCGUGUUCUGGCCAUGGGUAGCCGCCUUGAGGCCGAG